GCAGGAAGUGAGAACAGCGCUGGGCUCUCGUGCCUGCUGGGAGAACCUGCAGAAGUGGAGAUAAAGAAACAGGCUCAGAGAGGAAGAGAUGGUUAACAGCUAGAGCUGUCCAACAAUGGACCAGACCAGGUGGCCUCAUGAGGUGCAGAACAUCAGGUCCAGGAAGGCGAGUGCCUGUCUGUCUUGUACACAGAUGUAUUCCCAAGGCCUUGGGUGCGUGAUUGUGCAUCACAAAAGACUUACUCCAUGAAUGAAUGCAUGAAUAAGUGAAUGAUCAUUAUUCUGAUUCUAUAGAACAAACCAGAAUGCUUCCAUAUCAACUUAGCCAUAAUGUCAGGCCA
Molecule: long non-coding RNA, 341 nt
Filed under: Homo sapiens (human)
Lineage: Eukaryota; Metazoa; Chordata; Mammalia; Primates; Hominidae
Description: non-protein coding lnc-GRM4-2:1
Source: RNAcentral